Molecule: long non-coding RNA, 4926 nt
Organism: Dermochelys coriacea (leatherback sea turtle)
Lineage: Eukaryota; Metazoa; Chordata; Testudines; Dermochelyidae
Exons: 2
Source: RefSeq, a predicted model, not a curated record
UGGUUUUAGCACAGGGAGAGUUGAUAGACUCUUACAUUGGCAACAUUGUAGAAAUGCAGCUAGGUUGAUUUGCUAAAAUAGGAGCUGCAAAAGGAGAAGAGAGUUAAGAAUAAUGCCAAGGUUAUAGCCAGAGGCAAAUGGAAGGUCUAAGUUGAAAAGAGGAUAUAAAAUAAAGAAUUGGAUUUGAGGAUUACCUUUGUUGCCUCAGGUAACUUUUUAAGAAGUAGUUGAAAGAAAUUGAGAUUACAGUUUAAUUGAUGAGAUCAGGAAGAGAGAAGGUUAAAAGGGCUGGAUAUUAAAAAUUCCAAAAUAUACAGAACUGAGUAUCAUCAUGUAAAAAUGAUAGAAAGACAAAGGAAGGUGACAUAAUAUAAUCUAGCAUAAGAAAUUGUGCAGAAACCAGAGUCAAGAAUGAAACCUCAUAGGUUGCCUUAGAGGAGGGGGCCUUGUGCAGAGGCAGAGCUACUACCAAACGGAUGGAGGAGUUUGAUAUGUGGAAUCAAACAUCCAAGAAGAGAAAAAAAAUCAUGGCUGCAGCACUAAGGAGAUAGUGAAUACUCCACAAGGCGGAAGGGUGCAAUGAUGUCCAAGAGAAUGAGUGUGAGGGAGAAAAAGCCAUUUUGAGUAUGAACAGUAUUUGCUCUUUUAGCUAUUUAAUGGUGUUAUGACUGAUACUUUAAUUCUGAAAUAUCAACCAAUAUAAACCUAAUGGCAUGCUGAAGAUGAAAUCCUGCUUUCUGGUUAGUUAAUUGUUAGGAAAAGAAAGUAGCCAAGAUUAUAGCAGUAGCAAACACCAGAUCAAAUUAAACACAAAGAAUUAAUUUUUAAACAUUUUUAUAUUCUCAUAAUAAUAAAUAGGGAGCAUGUUUUCUGGCAGCUGAUGACAGACUGGGAUAGUGGCCAUUAUUUUGCCUAGAAAAUAUGCAAUCAAGCUUUAUUCACAUUAAUUUCACAUUCUAAAAAAUACACCUAACGUCUAAACUGCUGUGAAAAUGUCCUGUAUCUUUUUGAGAGACAAAAUGGGUGAAGUAAUAUCAUUUAUUGGACCAACUCCUGUAGGUGAGAGAGAGACAAGAAGACAACACAAGGUCCAAUAAAAGAUAUUACCUCACUUACCUUGUUUUUCUCUAAUAUCCUGGGACCGAUAUGGCUAUAACUACACUGGUUUUUCUUAGACUUCUUAACCUUUUCCUUUGGCAAAAAAUGCAUAUUACACAAGCAAGAGGGCAUUUUUAUUUAUUACUGUUAUUUUUACAACACUCUCAAUUGUGUGCUUUACAGAAACAAAAACCUUGUCUGUAUCAAAAAUUGCUCCAGUUUUACUAAAGGUAAAUCAGCUUAGUUAAACCAGUGCAAACCUGUGUGGUUUGUGCUGGUUUAAAUAAAUCCACUUAGAAGCAUCUCUUUAGUGAAACCUAUGCAAUUUUUAAUACAGACAAGAUCUAAUAAAAAGAUAUGGUCCUUGAUCCAGAAAAUUAUCAUUUAAAACCCCAAUCUUGUAAGGUCUUAUGCAUGUGCAUUAGAUCACUCAGUAGUCCCAGAGAUUUCAGUAGGGACUAGUCACAUGAGUCAAUUGUGUACAUGCUUAAGUCUUUGCUGGCUUGGGGCUUAAAUUUUGACAAGACUCAGCUUAGACAUGUUAACAUUUUGAUGAUUCAAUAAUUAUUUUUGGUAGCCUGUUUUUGUUUUUAUUAUAUUUAACACCAAGUUUAAAACUCUGGGCCUAAUUCUCUUCUCUUUUUUCUCUUAUACCAGCGUUGGGGGGGGGGGCAGUAGUUAAAGGUCUCUGGAAACUAACAAUCAAUUUUUAUAAAAAAAAUGUGUCUGUUGGUAGGGAACUCCAUCAAAUGUCCAUCAGGAAUGCUAGAGAUUGCAGGACUGUGGUUGAUAUUUUAUAAUUAUUUCAUAAAAUAAUGCUUAAAAAUAAAAAGUAUAUUAAUUGAAUGUGAUUUUAAAUGUCAAGGCCUGUAUUUAUAGAGGAAUGUAUGCUAGUAAAAAAGAGUCCAUAUCUUCCAUGUUAGUGUUUGUUUGGAUAGAAUGAUAGUUCUAUCCUUUAAAAUUGCUGAAACGGGGUAUUUUGUUCGGGGGGGGGGUGGGCAGUUAAAUUAGAGACAAUGUAAAGCUCUUACAUGCUGAGGUGAUUUUAAAAUUAUUUAAAUAAUACAGAACUUCAGCCGACAUAUUUUCUGUAGUCUAGCAUCGCAGCUCACAGAGGUGGGCCAAAGUUGCAGUGCUACAUGCACUGACCACGUCUCCUGCUCCUGCUUGCCGCCAGAUUCUCUGCCUCCAUGGCAGCAGCCAGUUGGCAAGUUUAGCUGCUACUGUUUCUUUUGUUCCCCUGGCUGUUUUUCUUGCCUGUUUUCAGCAGUGGCGAGCAAAUCUUUUUCUUAACCCUUUCUUCUCCUCUCUGGGUCAAAUUUCAUUGGCUUAAUGAGUAAUCUAUCUGGAGCUGCUGGCCACAUGCCAGUUAUACAUAGUUGUGUUCCCACUGAAGUUACUAAUAUCUUUCUAUGAGUUCUAUGUAGCAUUGGAAUGACUCAUCUGGCACCAAGCUGGGGGGGAAGAAGGGUGGCCAGUGCAUGCAGCACUGCAACUUUGGACCCCCUCUGAGAGCUGCAGCGUGGAGAGGAGAUGUCUUGUGGGAGAUGCUGGCAGAAAGGAGAUUAUUGCUGGUGGCAGGGAAAGCUGCAGUUCAUAGGACAUCACAGUCAGGUGCUCUUAAUACCUGGGUAAGACCCUCCAGCAGAGAGAGAGAAGUAAAGUUGAUAUUUCCAAUAUCAAAAGCAAGCAGGAAAAAACAGGUUGUUUGAGAGAGGGAAAACUUGAAAAAACUUUUAUAUAUCAAGAACCAAACACACUUUUAGUUUGUAAUUUACUUUUAUUAUUAUUGGAUACAAACGGUCUAGGACUGAUGAUUGAUUCAUGUUUAGCCUUCGAGUGCCUUAUUCAACUCUUGAGUUCUUUCCCCGUACACAAUGAAAGCACCAAGAACGAGUAUUUGUACUUGUUCUCCCUUACUGGCCUCUGCAAAAAACCUGUGAACUGGGGCAUAGCUCUUUUAUGAAUAGGAUCCCUUAGUCACUACCUCUGUGGGGAAAACUGUAUUAGAAGCCAUGGCAGUAACUCAGCAUGGUAUUAGACAGCUUCCUAAUUCUUAUCACAAUCUGAAUUGCUGACUGAAUAUAACCCAGGUAAUUAAAAAUCUGUUUCUGAAUUUUGGUAUGGUACAGAGAAUGUAGGGAAAAGAGUAGCUACGCUCCAUUGUGUUUGAGUGCACUACUGAAUCAGUUAGCAGCAGAGCACUGUUUAUAGGCUUUGGGCAAGAGGGUUUUUUUUUUAAUUCCCCCACUGUGUUGAAUUUAUUUCCAUCAAUACUCAUUAAUUAACUCAGUCUCCAUUUCUUCUUUAGUACAUUUAUAAUGAUAAAAUAAUCUGACUUUUACUCCAAUGUGCCUAACUGCUAAACAAUGGAAAUAGUUAAACCACACACAAUUAAUUGUGGGAAAACAUUUUAUAAGGUAAAUAUUUGCCCCCCCGUCCCAUUUUUAGGGGUCCAGUUCCAUGAAAAGAUCAAUUUUGGAAGUGUCCAGGAAUCACUCCAGUAGUCUUUGCAUUGAGAGGAGUUAUAUUUGACGCCUCUACGGUACAAAUGAAGCAUCCCAUGGGGAGAAAAACGAAAGUUUUCAGUAAUGGGAAGUAUGCCCUUUUUACACUGUAAGUAUAUCUAGUCGUAAAGAAAACCAAUCCAGCUUCUAGUGGCAAUUGUUUUCAGUCCAUUCUACUCCAUGACUAAAAUAACUGAAUUUCUUCUAGUCUUUCAGCUUAGGAUCUCUAUACCAAAUAAUACAUUAAAAACAACACCCACCCUUGACCUAAACCUCCCUUGGAAUGGUAGAAGUCUCUCCAAGAAAUCCACUUAAUUUCCCUUAAAGGGGAGUGGUAUGGCAGAAACUUUCAUGCAGUUUGCUAGUGGUUGCUGUGUUUAGUGUGAAACCUAGUCUAAUUUCAGCAAUGCCCCUUUGCUAAAGUGUGUACAAAGUGUUUCUUCAAAUCAACAGUUCUCUUCUCAACCCCUUUUUGUAUGUGGACUUAAGUUGUUUUGGUAUUUGGAAUACAGAAUUGUCAUAACACCAUACAAUAAAUAAGGGUCAUCAAGUGUCUUGUGCUACCUAACUAGCCAGAACCACAAUAAUGUCUUUUUUUUUUUUUUUUUUUUUUUUAGGGGUGGAGAGGAGCAGUUGGUGCUUUCUACUUACACGCUUGGUAGCAAAAAGCCUCUUGAAAAGAUAAAUGCUGAGAGGUAAAUGUUUGUCAGCUGAUUGUUUUAGCAGGCACACAAUUCUUCCUUUGAUGUCUAUCAGGUUCAAUGAAAUCCUGUUACUACCAGGAUUUAGUUGUAGAUAUAUUAAGAUUUUUUCUGUGAUCUCUCCUGCAACAGAAGCAGUAGUAAAAUUUAUAACAGUGUCACCAUAAAGGAAUGCUUGUAAAGGCUCUCUGUAUAUUCUUAACUGUCCCAUUUUUUUCAAAGGGGAGGGUUUCCCUUUUUAUAUUUAAAAACUUACUGUUUGUCAACGAAUUAGAGGCCAGAUACUUAGCUGGUGUAAAUCUACAUAGCUCAAUGGAGCUGAAUUACACUAUCUAAGUAAGAAAGACAGUUAUGAAUGGGAAUUACUUAAUAGCCACAUGUUCUGUCACAGGUUUCGAAGUGUCAUGUUAAUUAGUCUUCCCACAAUGCAGGAGCAAAGUUACUCCUAUUAUUACCAUAAGGCAGAGUCACAUUGGUGCAUAGACAAGAGAGACUGUAGAUGCCUACAGUUUCAUCCUACUUUAGUGCUAUGGCCAUUAGAUAAUUUGUUCGGAAGAGCUGAAGUGAAAAGUGAUACAACCAGACUGUGUAACUAACUACAUACCUGUGUUCUACUAAAA